RNAcentral lists this microRNA precursor (147 nucleotides) under Prunus dulcis (almond). Its description in RNAcentral is "sRNA ncRNA". Lineage: Eukaryota; Viridiplantae; Streptophyta; Magnoliopsida; Rosales; Rosaceae. The record is from RNAcentral.
GCUCCUAGUUUUUGCUCUCUCUCUCUCUCUCUCUCUCUCUCUCUCUCUCUCUCUCUCUCAGUCAUGCUCCUAGUUUUUGGUAGGUUAGAGAGAGAGAGAGAGAGAGAGAGAGAGAGAGAGAGAGAGAGAGAGAGCAUAUCUGAAUAU